This is a ribosomal RNA of Pteropus vampyrus (large flying fox), 119 nucleotides long. NCBI's taxonomy places the organism in Eukaryota, Metazoa, Chordata, Mammalia, Chiroptera, Pteropodidae. The record is from Ensembl.
GUCUACAGCCAUGCUACCCUGAACAAGCCCAAUCCCAUCUGAUCUCAGAAGCUACACAGGAUCGGGCCUGGUUAGUACUUGGAUGUGAAACAACCUAGGAAGACCAGGUGUUGUAGGUG